RNAcentral lists this ribosomal RNA (253 nucleotides) under uncultured bacterium. RNAcentral's name for it is "partial 16S ribosomal RNA". It matches the Rfam family "Bacterial small subunit ribosomal RNA", at positions 524 to 776 of the family's 1533-position model. The record is from RNAcentral.
UACGUAGGGCGCGAGCGUUGUCCGGAAUCAUUGGGCGUAAAGAGCUCGUAGGCGGCCAGGUAGGUCUGCUGUGAAAACUCGAGGCUUAACCUCGAGCUGUCGGCGGAAACCAUCUGGCUAGAGUCCGGAAGAGGAGAAUGGAAUUCCCGGUGUAGUGGUGAAAUGCGUAGAUAUCGGGAGGAACACCAGUGGCGAAGGCGACUACCUGGCCUGUUCUUGACGCUGAGGCGCGAAAGCUGGGGGAGCAAACGGG